RNAcentral lists this ribosomal RNA (498 nucleotides) under uncultured bacterium. RNAcentral's name for it is "partial 16S ribosomal RNA". It matches the Rfam family "Bacterial small subunit ribosomal RNA", at positions 28 to 523 of the family's 1533-position model. The record is from RNAcentral.
GAUGAACGCUAGCGGCAGGCCUAAUACAUGCAAGUCGGACGGGAUUGGAGAGCUUGCUUUCCAUGAGAGUGGCGCACGGGUGCGUAACACGUAUGUAACCUACCUUAAUCUGGGGGAUAGCCUCUCGAAAGAGAGAUUAACACCGCAUAACAUUACCGGACAGCAUUUUUUGGUAAUCAAAUAUUUAUAGGAUUAAGAUGGGCAUGCGGAACAUUAGCUAGUUGGUAAGGUAACGGCUUACCAAGGCUACGAUGUUUAGGGGAUCUGAGAGGAUGACCCCCCACACUGGUACUGAGACACGGACCAGACUCCUACGGGAGGCAGCAGUAAGGAAUAUUGGUCAAUGGGCGCAAGCCUGAACCAGCCAUGCCGCGUGCAGGAAGACGGCCCUACGGGUUGUAAACUGCUUUUGUACCGGAAUAAACCCUUUUACGUGUAAGAGGCUGAAUGUACGGUAAGAAUAAGGAUCGGCUAACUCCGUGCCAGCAGCCGCAGUAA